This 497-nucleotide ribosomal RNA is filed under the name uncultured bacterium. RNAcentral describes it as "partial 16S ribosomal RNA". It matches the Rfam family "Bacterial small subunit ribosomal RNA", at positions 28 to 507 of the family's 1533-position model. The record is from RNAcentral.
GAUGAACGCUGGCGGCGUGCCUAAUACAUGCAAGUCGAGCGAACAGACGAGGAGCUUGCUCCUCUGACGUUAGCGGCGGACGGGUGAGUAACACGUGGAUAACCUACCUAUAAGACUGGGAUAACUUCGGGAAACCGGAGUUAAUACCGGAUAAUAUAUUGAACCGCAUGGUUCAAUAGUGAAAGACGGUUUUGCUGUCACUUAUAGAUGGAUCCGCGCCGCAUUAGCUAGUUGGUAAGGUAACGGCUUACCAAGGCAACGAUGCGUAGCCGACCUGAGAGGGUGAUGGGCCACACUGGGACUGAGAGACGGUCCAGACUCCUACAGGAGGCAGAGGUAGGGAAUCGUCCGAAAUGGGCGAAAGCCUGACGGAGCAGCGCCGCGUGAGUGAUGAAGGUCUUCGGAUCGUAUAACUCUGUUAUUAGGGAAGAACAAAUGUGUAAGUAACUAUGCACGGCGUGACGGUACCGAGUCAGAAAGCCACGGCUAACUACGUG